Molecule: ribosomal RNA, 253 nt
Filed under: uncultured bacterium
Lineage: Bacteria
Description: partial 16S ribosomal RNA
Rfam family: Bacterial small subunit ribosomal RNA
Source: RNAcentral
UACAGAGGUCCCGAGCGUUGUUCGGAUUCACUGGGCGUAAAGGGUGCGUAGGUGGUGAGGUAAGUCGGAUGUGAAAUCUCUGAGCCCAACUCAGAAACUGCAUUGGAAACUACCUUGCUAGAGGAUUGGAGGGGGGACUGGAAUUCUCGGUGUAGCAGUGAAAUGCGUAGAUAUCGAGAGGAACACCAGUGGCGAAGGCGAGUCCCUGGACAAUUCCUGACACUGAGGCACGAAAGCUAGGGGAGCAAACAGG